CAGUCGAGCGGUAGAGAGAAGCUUGCUUCUCUUGAGAGCGGCGGACGGGUGAGUAAUGCCUAGGAAUCUGCCUGGUAGUGGGGGAUAACGUCCGGAAACGGACGCUAAUACCGCAUACGUCCUACGGGAGAAAGCAGGGGACCUUCGGGCCUUGCGCUAUCAGAUGAGCCUAGGUCGGAUUAGCUAGUUGGUGAGGUAAUGGCUCACCAAGGCGACGAUCCGUAACUGGUCUGAGAGGAUGAUCAGUCACACUGGAACUGAGACACGGUCCAGACUCCUACGGGAGGCAGCAGUGGGGAAUAUUGGACAAUGGGCGAAAGCCUGAUCCAGCCAUGCCGCGUGUGUGAAGAAGGUCUUCGGAUUGUAAAGCACUUUAAGUUGGGAGGAAGGGCAUUAACCUAAUACGUUAGUGUUUUGACGUUACCGACAGAAUAAGCACCGGCUAACUCUGUGCCAGCAGCCGCGGUAAUACAGAGGGUGCAAGCGUUAAUCGGAAUUACUGGGCGU
RNAcentral lists this ribosomal RNA (507 nucleotides) under Pseudomonas sp. RNAcentral describes it as "bacterial SSU rRNA". It matches the Rfam family "Bacterial small subunit ribosomal RNA", at positions 59 to 561 of the family's 1533-position model. Lineage: Bacteria; Pseudomonadati; Pseudomonadota; Gammaproteobacteria; Pseudomonadales; Pseudomonadaceae. The record is from RNAcentral.